This 900-nucleotide ribosomal RNA is filed under the name uncultured cyanobacterium. Its description in RNAcentral is "bacterial SSU rRNA". It matches the Rfam family "Bacterial small subunit ribosomal RNA", at positions 79 to 1010 of the family's 1533-position model. The record is from RNAcentral. Lineage: Bacteria; Bacillati; Cyanobacteriota.
AAGUUAGCAAUACUUAGCGGCAGACGGGUGAGUAACGCGCUAGGAAUCUACCUUAAAGUGGGGGAUAGCCGUCCGAAAGGGCGGGUAAUACCGCAUGUGAUCGCAAGAUCAAAGCAGCAAUGCGCUUUAAGAGGAGCCUGCGUCCUAUCAGCUAGUUGGUGGGGUAAUAGCCUACCAAGGCGAUGACGGGUAGCCGAUGUGAGAGCAUGAUCGGCCACAAGGUUACUGAGACACGGAACCUACACCUACGGGUGGCAGCAACUGGGAAUCUUGCGCAAUGGACGAAAGUCUGACGCAGCGACACCGCGUGCGGGAUGAAGCUCUUAGGAGUGUAAACCGCUGUGGCGAGGGAUGAAAUUUUGACCGUACCUCGCUAGAAAGCACAUGCUAACCACGUGCCAGAAGCCUCGGUAAUACGUGGGGUGCAAGCGUUAUCCGGAUUUACUGGGCGUAAAGCGUACCGUCGGCGACUUAAUAAGUCUUUUGUCCAAGCCUGGGGCUCAACUCCAGAAAGGCAGGAGAAACUAUUAAGAUUGAGUCUGUUCGGGGGACUUGGAAUUCUCGGUGGAGGGGUGAAAUCCGUAGAUAUCGAGAGGAACGCCAAGCGCGAAGGCAGGGUCCUAGGACACGACUGACGCUCAGGGACGAAAGCCAGGGGAGCAAAAGGGAUUAGAGACCCCUGUAGUCCUAGCCGUAAACAUUGGAUACUAGCUGCCUCUUUUCGGAGGGGUGGCGUAAGCUAACGCGUUAAGUAUCCCGCCUGGGGAGUACGACCGCAAGGUUAAAACUCAAAGGAAUUGACGGGGGAGCGCACAACCGGUGGAGCAUGUUGUUUAAUUCGAUACGAAGCGAAAAACCUUACCCAGAUUUGACAUGUACCUGCACGGUUAUGGAAACAUA